AGCAUAGCGUGUGACCCCCGUA
Molecule: microRNA, 22 nt
Filed under: Ornithorhynchus anatinus (platypus)
Lineage: Eukaryota; Metazoa; Chordata; Mammalia; Monotremata; Ornithorhynchidae
Description: oan-miR-1421d-3p
Source: miRBase by way of RNAcentral